ACCCACAGAGCCUUUCUUACUUUGCAGGUUCAGACAGUUCAAACAAAUUUGUUAGGAGGUUCCUCUUCUCCACUGUAAAUGUAAGGCACUCUGCCAGACACUUCUAAGGAUUGCAAAGUCAUGGGGGGAACUCUUGGCCAACAUUCAAGAUCCCCAUGCAACCUUCUGAAUUGAGUUGAAAUUUUUUGUUAAAUUUCAGCAGCUAUGCAAAAUAUGUUCAAAAAUUCAGGAGGUUUCUCAUGUGCAAUAUUUGCUGUAAUAUUAAUGUUAUUAUUUCAGAAUUUCAGAACAACAUGCUUUCAUUCAUGUGCUGAAGUGUUUUUCUGCCCAUACAAUCUUCCUCUCAAUGGUACAAGAUAAUUCCGAUGUCCUCAGAAUUUCUUAAUUUGCAUUUCUAGUUGCCAUAAUUGGGUUAUUAUUUUUUAUUAUUGUUACACUGGAAUCAGAGGAAAAUCUUCUGCCGUGGUAGCCAAAUACAAAACUGGGGUACUUUAUUUUACUUUCCAGAACUGUAAGUUCUACCCUCUUUGGCUCUUUGGUGCUCAUUUCUGUCCUUUUUUUAAUUUUAAAAAAGUUUAUUUUUAUGCAAUUUUGAAGGGUAAUCCUCCAUUUACAGUUUUAAUUUUUUUUUUUUCUCUUUAGGGCUGCACCUGUGGCAUAUGGAAGUUCCCAGGCUAGGGGCCCAAUCGGAGCUUCUGCUGCUGGCCUAUGCCAUAGCCACAACAAUGUGAGAUAAGAGCCGCAUCUGCGACCUGUACCACAGCUCACGGUAAUGCCGGAUCCUUAAUCCACUGAGCGAGGCCAGGGAUCAAACCCACCAUCCUCAUGGAUACUAGCUGGGUUCUUAACCCACUCCCUUCAGUUGUUGAUUAUCUUGGCUUAAGUUGUAAGAUCAGUCCAAUAUUGCUACAGGGCUAAAUUCUAUGCUUAAAUAUUCUACAGAGCACAUUGAGGAUAGUAAUUAAAUCUACCCCAUCAUCGAUACUUAUAAAUCCCUAGGAAGAAAAGAACUCAGUGCAUAAUAAGUACCUAAUACAUGUAAUUAUUAUUGGUAUAGAAGCCCUUUCACUUUUUGGUUAUGGCAUUAUGCCAUUUGUGGGCAUUUUCCUUGUUAUAAAAUGAAGGCACUAUCAAAAGGCAUCUUGGUUUUGUUCACUGAUGUAUAUCCCAAAUAUAUUUCAAAGAACCAGGCAGAGUGUAGGUGCUCAACAGUUUGUUAAAUGAAAGAGUAUUUGUCUGAGUUCAGUCAGGCUGCUAGUCUACCACCCAGUGCUUGACAUCGACCUAACCCCCACUAAGUUUGCUGAUAGGAUGGUAUAAUCAGACAUGAUCCAGGAAUAUGCUGUAAACUCUCUUCCGUGUUCUGAGGAGCCAUGAGGGCACAGGGUGACCAUUUGCUUGACUAAAGUCAUGGUCAGGAGAGUUCCCAGACCUUUGCUUUUUGUACAGAAAGAGCAUGAACACUCUACAGCUGAUAGGAAUUUUAGUGAAGCUUUCCACGUUGGUAUCUGUUGGUUACACCUUAUGCUCUGCUUCUGCAAACUUUGAGUUAUAGAAAUUGUUUAGGAGGGAAAAUUAUAAACAGAAGGGAAUACAUAUUUUAAUUCAUUAAAAAAUUUUAUCAUUUUUAUAACAGAUGGGAAAAACAAGAGAUAAUGACAAAAUAUUAAAGAAUUAAACAUAUCUGGAAUCUAUUCCAAAGCAAUCUGGGAGACUUUGUCUUUCUAAUGAUGGCAAAUGGACAGAAAUUCAAGAAGUUGGUAUUUAUUCUGCGGGGGCGAUGGAAGUGAGUAUAUGAUGUGAUGCGAGUGGUAAUGUCCAGUGGCAGUCCCUAAUGCAGGGUGGAGUGAGGCAGUAAGAAAGACACAAAAGGUGUUACCUGAAAUGUUAAGUGCAGGAACUUUCCUUAGAAAGAUAAAGACAAAUGUUCCCAAUAUUGGUGAAUAGAUCAUUAAGUCUGAAUGUGAGCAAGGUGAGUCAAAGACAGUAAAAUUUUAACUUGGAGUAACUGGAGGAAUGAUGUGAAAAACUGUGGGAGAUCUUUAAGAGCAGGAGGAACACAGAGGAGAAGUCUUGGAGAAAACGAUAACUUUGGAGCAAAUUUGAGGAAUGAACAACAUAGCCCAAGUUGAAAUGUUCCAACAUCGGAACCCUGGAGUUGGACCUCCUCAGGAGAGGAGGUGUUUGUGUCUAUGAAUGAACCUAGUGAUGUUUGAAGCUGAAGUUAUAGAUGAGAUCUUGGGAAAAGAACCUAAAGAGAAUACUGAGUUUCUGGGAACACCCACAUUUAGGAAGAGGAAAAAAGGAGGCAGCAAAAGAAUCUGGGACAAGGUGAUUAGAAACAUGUGGAAAAGCAGAAGCUGGCUUUCAAGAAGAGGUGUUGAGGAUUUGAGUUGCUACAAACCAGUGAAGCAUGAAGGCAAGGUAAUUAAUUGCCUUUCCAGCUUGUGGUCAGGAGAUCAUGGCUAACAUUGUGAACACAGCCUCAGUGGAGUGAGGGAGGAAGACACAUUUUUAGGGCCCCAACAUAGCGUUUGUUCAUUUCUGAACAUUUUGAAGAUGAGAGAAAAUGGAUUACAGAGAGAGGAAACAAAAUGUCAUGUAUCAAGUAAUUAAUUUAAAUUUAUCUUCAGAGAUGGAAGGGGCUAGUUAUUGAGAUUGUUACCUAAAAACUGCCUGGUAGACAAAUAGGGCCUCCAGGCCACAACAUGCCAACAGAUAUUUUUGUGUUGUUUGGGUAAUAAUGUGUUUUAAAAAUUGAAUUAGGUGUGAAUGUUUAGAAAUGUAAAGUUUCUUUUUUUUUCAUAAAAAUCCCUGAUUUCUAUCUUCUCUUGAAAAUAUUGGAAAUUCGGCAACACUGGGUGUGCAUUUCUGCGUGUCAUCCGUUAGCUGGAGUUGAAUAGCAGCUUUCCCAGUGGAAGGGCAUACAUUCUUCACUUAGCCAUGGUCCCCACCGUGUGAGUCUCCCCAUGAGAGUACUUGCUAACAUCUACUUGUAGAUGUUUCAGUUGGCAAUUCCUAAUUAAGUUCAACUUCCUCAUUCCAUGGAAGAGAAGAAUAAAGUCUGAAAUGGAGCAUGACUUGUCCUAAAGUCACAUAUCUGGCAGUGGGAGAGUCUGUUUUAGAGCCUGUAUCUCCUGAUUCUUAUUUCUGUAAGGUUCCUGCUCUGUUAACUCACUACGUUUUUCUCUGACGAGGCAGUCACUUGAGGACUGGCCUGUGGCAGUUUCCACCCCACCUCCCAGAUUUUAGAAUUGCCAAAUGGUACAUGAUUUAUUUGGCUCUGCCCCAACCAGGUUCUCAGUGUUUUUCCUGCAGUCCAGAUGGUGACCAAAGUUCUUCCUCCUCAGACAAGAAGGGAACUCUCUUGGUCACCAAGUUCAAGCUCACUCUUUUCAGAACUUUGGCCUAACUAGAGGCAUAUAAAUUCCCCGUAAUGUUUCUUUUAUGGAGAUUUUUGAGGCCUAAGUGGAAUGAUGUUAAACAAUGACUACCAUGCAUUGUUGCCUAAAGUAGAAAAUUAAAUUCAGCUCAUUGAAAUGAAUACCAGAUCACACCCUUCAAGUUUCCCCACCCCUGAUAUAUCAUAGAUCUUUCAAGAAAAUUUGAAUAUUGUGUUUGGAUUUUUUUUUUCUGCCUUAUAAAGAAAGUUAAUGAUCUUUCUUAUUUUCUUUCCCAACAUGAAAAUUCAUUAACCAUACAAAAGAAGUUGUUUGCCGUUAAAAUAAUACCUCAUUCUAAGUGAGAGCAUAAACAGGUUCUAACCCACUCACUUGGAAAGGAUUUUCUGAAAGCCUGGGAUACAGCUGCAUUAUUUUUUUCCUUUUCUCCAGCCUUUGCCCCUUCACCACGCAAUAUGAACAGACCUGGCUUAAAAAUAGAACAGCUAAUGAGGUUUGUCUAGUGGAUUUAAGGCAGCAGUGUUAACCCUUAAAGAUACAAUGGCCUAUGGAAAUUUGGAAAUACGACUGUUUCAAUGAAGUAUGACUCCUGAUAUGAAUAUUGUAUUUAAAAAAUGUUCCAAACCAUCUAGUUCUUUCCUGAACUCAUCCCUUUCAUGUAAUGCUUUGUCAAGUGCAGCCUAUGUUAACCAGUAUACGCUGGUGGUGUGAUUGUUUUCCAUCUUUUCCUCUAGAGCUUCCAACUUAGGAGACUGUGGUACAUCUAUCAAAUUAUUAUUGAUAACAGUUUUACAACUUUUUCCCAACUGUACAACUUAGAUGACCAUAUUUCCAGCCCAUGGUGUCAGUUUCUUUGCUGCCUGAUGCCCUGCUACAUCUUUAAAGUUUUGUGAUGGUAUUCCCUAUCGCCAAUACCACUUUCUAACUCAGGUUGGGCUAAAUUGUGGGCAGUAGUAAACAGGUUCUUGAAUCUCAGAGCUUAGUGCCUAAGUAAGUGUAGGUUUGUUUCUUUCUCAAGUCACCGUCCAGUGCAAUUGGGGUUGCUCUCUUUCGUCUUAUCUUCAACACAUUGUCCAUGGUUGCCUUUAUGAAUGGUCAUGCAUCAGAGUUUAUGAUACAGGCACGAAAGUAGUAUAUUUCUUCCCUUUACAUGGCAGUGGUCAAAACCCAGUCACUUGAAGCCAGUUCAACUAUAGGGGCACUGGAGUUUUAUCCUUUUUUUUUUUAGAAAAAGAAAACAGAAUUGGUGAAUAUCUACCCAAUCUUGCCAUAAAAUGGAUCUAAAUAUAUCAUUCCUUUAAACUAUGAAUAACUUUUUUUUUUUAAACAAAUACCUUCUGACAGUCUGACAUAAACUUUGGAGCUCUAUAGUUUAACUUUAUGAUUUGACCAAGUACAUUAAAUCACCUAAGGAAAAACUUGUGUUCAAAUGAAACAUCAUCUGUUUCUGCUAGGCAUCAUCAAAAGAGGAAGACAGAGGUUUUUAAGUUGUGUAUAUAUAACUUGUUGGAAAUCUGAUGGUUUGUUCCAUCAAAAAGGAAUCAGUGUGUAUGAAUGCGUCUUAGAAUAUCAAUGUGAUUACUAACAAGUUAUAAUCUUUAUCUCAGCCAUACAUCUAAUUUCCCUGUGGAUUUCUACACAAAAUGAGGACUUUCUUUGAGUCACUCAUGAAUAAAUAAUUCGGGUACAUCACUAGGUAAAUAUAUUCAAAUGAUGGCCUGCAAAAGUCAAGUGCAGUAUUGUCCUGUUCACCUCAGGGUUUUAUUGUUAUUGGAGAUAGUUUAUUAAAAUUAAAAAUUUACUUUUGAUAGGUUAAUGGCCUGGAUUAUUGACUUGGGGUGGUGUUGCAGUAUAAUAAUUACAGAAUGAUUGUCAAUGAAACAGAUAAGAAAAUGUGUGAUCUUGGCCUUGGGGAUCAGGAUCAACAUAGUGGAGUAAGAAGAUCCUAAGCUCACCUUCUUCCAAAUAUACACCAAAAUUACAACGACGGUUGGCUUUAAACAAUGCAGGUUUGAACUGCCUGGGUCCACUUAUAUAUAGCUAUUUUUCAAUGGUAAUAAAUAAUAUGAUAUCACAGUCUGCAGAUGCAGAGGAACCAUGGAUAUGGAGGACAAGCUAUGAGUUUUAUGUGAGUUAAUCCCUAUUUUGUUCAAAGGUCAACUGUACUAUGGAACAACUAUCUCUGAGAAUGAUCUGAAGACUAGAAGAAAAGAUUUUCCACAAGUAAAGAUAUAAAGAAGGAGCCACAGUGAGGUAUGUAGGAGGGGAGGGGAUGCAGUCUGGUCAAUACCUGCACCCUGGUGUUGCAAAUCACAAGCAAAAUGGAUCUCACAAUCAAGAGAUUAUCCCUAAAGAGUGAGGGUCAGAGCUCCACAUCAGGUUCCCCAGCCCCGGGGUCCUGUACUGGAAAGACGAGGACCCAAAACAUCUGGUAUUGAAAACCAGUGAGCCUUACAUCCAAGAGAGCUAGAGGAGUGUAAGAAACCUAGUCUGUGCUCUUAAAGGGCCCACACAAGACCUCACUUGCCCCAAGUCCCAGGUGCAGACUCAGCAGUUUGUAAGAUGCCUGGCUCAGACCCACUUGCUGAUCUUAAAGAGUCUCCCAGAGAGGCAGGAGGCAGUUGGGACUCCUCCUGGGACUGAGAUGCUGGAAGCCAUUUUUGUGAUCUCAUUCUGUUGUGCUAACACUCCUGACAGGUGCCAAUUUGGAAUCUCACUUCUAGCCUUUUAGCACCAGGACAUGCCCCACCCACCAGGAUGAUUGCAGGGCCUUAGUGUCAGCUGGGUUGGGGUUCAGACUAGCCUCCAGCAUCUCCAUAAUAGUUGGCCCCACCACAACACAAGUGUGCAUGCAGUCCACAUUGGGGAAACCACCAGAGCACCCCAGAGCACCUAGCUCUGGUGGCCUGAGGGGAGUGUGCUCCCGGGUCCCAUAGAACAACUCUUAUAUAAGUCCCCUUCUCUAAGAUUGGGAGAUGUAACAGACAUACCUAAUACAGAUAAAUAAACACAAAGUAGGCAAAAUGAGGAGACAGGGAACUAUGUUUCAAAUGAGGAAGGAAGACACAACCUCAGAAAAAGAACUAAACAAAACAGAGAUAAGCAGUCUACCUGAUAAAGGGUUUGAGGUAAUGAUUCUAUAGCUGCUCACCAAAGUUGGGAGAAAAGUGGAUGAAUAUAGUAAUAGCUUCCACAAAGAGUUAGAAACUAUGAAAAAGAGCUAACCAGAGCUGAAGAAAACAAUAACUGAAAUGAAAAAUAGACUAGAGGCUAUCCGUGGCAGAUUAGGUCAUAUAGAAGAAUGAAUCAGUGAUCUGGAAGAAAGGAUAGUGGAAAUUAUUUGAGGUGAAUAGGGAAAAGGAAAAAAGAAUUAAAAAAAAUAAAGAUAGUUUAGGGACUCUGAGACAACAUCAACUGUACUAACAUUCCCAUUAUAUGAAUCCCUGAAGUAGAAGACAGAGAAAAGGGCAGAGAAAUUAUUUGAAAAAGUAAUGGCUGAAAAAUCCCCUAACUUGGGGACUGAAAUAAGCAUUCAUGUCCAGAAAACACAGAGAGAGUCCCAAACAAUAUAAACUCAGGAAGUUCACACCAGAACAUAUUAUAAUUAAGAUGUCAAACAUUAAAGAGAGUCUUAAAAGCAGCAAGAGAAAAGUGACUAGUAUGUACAGAAGAACUCCCAUAAGACUGUCAUCUGACUUUUCAGCAGAAACUUUGCAGGCCAGAA
RNAcentral lists this long non-coding RNA (7125 nucleotides) under Sus scrofa (pig). Its description in RNAcentral is "lncRNA (ENSSSCG00000054066.1)". The record is from RNAcentral. Lineage: Eukaryota; Metazoa; Chordata; Mammalia; Artiodactyla; Suidae.